AUGGUUUGUCGACUCCAUUGCUCUAGGCUGGGUGUCUUUUGUGUUGUUGCAGGGACAGGAGCAAACGGAUCCGUCUCCGGGCCAAAUCCCUGGCGGGCAGAGAGGACAGGCCGUCGCUUGCAUCUCCACCCUGUGACCUUCGCUGAAGAAUCUGUGGGGAGGUGGCUGUGCAUUUCAACCAGGGGAGCAAGGGUGUGCUGGACUGAGGCCAGACAGCUCCGCAGAAAGACGUCAUGCUGGAGGCUGAAGGGAACGAGGCCUCUCCAGGUAAGGGAUCCCUUUGCAUUUCAUAUUUGUAUUUUUCACCGCACUGUUGACCUGGUUGGAAGUGGGCAACCAGAUCCUAUGCCUUCGAAGCUGCCUUGCGCCUGGCUUGAGCUUUGCUGGUACCAUUUUAAAAUAUAAAAUUCCAAUUUUUGGAAACAUGAAACUUCCAAGGGGAUGUUCCUCAUUGGCUUUCUUUCUCAUCUGUUGCCCGGACGCUUCCAAUAGAAGAAGAAGAUACAAACCAGUGAACUCCAGCAGGAUCGUACAGGAUGCAGCUUAUCUUGGGUAUUAAAUGUUGCCAGUCUUUCAACCUUUGUUUUGUUUACCAUAUUUGUUGACAUAUUCUUGUAUGGAGUUUGACAGAUUAAGCCACAGUAGCCUAAAAUAGCUCUCUUGGUAUCCCAACAACUCUUAGGGAUUUAUUUCUUCCAAGUGGUUUGAGAGCAGGUUUCACUUCACUUUCUAAAUUUCCUGGUUAUUCAUGGCAGGAUUCACCAUCACAACAAUCUAUUAUCCUCACAUCUUUUCUGUAUACAGUUCUUCAGUGUAUAGUUUCUUUUUAUUUUAUUCCGGCCGCAUGCCAUGCUUCCCUGUCUUUCAUUUCUUGGAUUUUAUGGAAGAGAGGUCUUGUUUUCCCUCUUUCUUUUUUCCCCCUUCUAUUUGUGC
This 933-nucleotide long non-coding RNA is filed under the name Pogona vitticeps (central bearded dragon). Its description in RNAcentral is "lncRNA (ENSPVIG00000000552.1)". The record is from RNAcentral. Lineage: Eukaryota; Metazoa; Chordata; Lepidosauria; Squamata; Agamidae.